RNAcentral lists this ribosomal RNA (460 nucleotides) under uncultured bacterium. RNAcentral's name for it is "partial 16S ribosomal RNA". It matches the Rfam family "Bacterial small subunit ribosomal RNA", at positions 338 to 795 of the family's 1533-position model. The record is from RNAcentral.
ACUACGGGAGGCAGCAGUGAGGAAUAUUGGUCAAUGGGCGGAAGCCUGAACCAGCCAAGUAGCGUGCAGGAUGACGGCCCUACGGGUUGUAAACUGCUUUUAUACGGGAAUAACGCGCCUUACGUGUAGGGCUUUGCAUGUACCGUAUGAAUAAGGACCGGCUAAUUCCGUGCCAGCAGCCGCGGUAAUACGGAAGGUCCGGGCGUUAUCCGGAUUUAUUGGGUUUAAAGUGAGCGUAGGCCGCAUGUCAAGCGUGCUGUGAAAUGUCCGGGCUCAACCCGGGCCUUGCAGCGCGAACUGGCGUGCUUGAGUCCGCGGAAAGCAGGCGGAAUUCGUCGUGUAGCGGUGAAAUGCUUAGAUAUGACGAAGAACCCCGAUUGCGAAGGCAGCUUGCUGCAGCGGAACUGACGCUGAUGCUCGAAAGCGCGGGUAUCGAACAGGAUUAGAUACCCGAGUAGUC